This 305-nucleotide ribosomal RNA is filed under the name uncultured bacterium. RNAcentral describes it as "bacterial SSU rRNA". It matches the Rfam family "Bacterial small subunit ribosomal RNA", at positions 335 to 633 of the family's 1533-position model. The record is from RNAcentral.
UACCUACGGGGCGCAGCAGUAGGGAAUUUUCGUCAAUGGGCGCAAGCCUGAACGAGCAAUGCCGCGUGAACGAGGAAGGUCUUCGGAUCGUAAAGUUCUGUUGAAGGGGAAAAAGAGCGGAGAGAGGAAAUGGUCUCCGAUUGAUAUUACCCUUCGAGGAAGUCACGGCUAACUACGUGCCAGCAGCCGCGGUAAUACGUAGGUGGCGAGCGUUAUCCGGAAUUACUGGGUGUAAAGGGAGCGUAGACGGCGAGGUAAGCCUGAAGUGGAAGCCCGCGGCCCAACCGCGGAACUGCUUUGGGCAC